Aspergillus versicolor CBS 583.65 is the source of this 89-nucleotide transfer RNA. It matches the Rfam family "tRNA". Rfam says of the family: Transfer RNA (tRNA) molecules are approximately 80 nucleotides in length. Their secondary structure includes four short double-helical elements and three loops (D, anti-codon, and T loops). Further hydrogen bonds mediate the characteristic L-shaped molecular structure. tRNAs have two regions of fundamental functional importance: the anti-codon, which is responsible for specific mRNA codon recognition, and the 3' end, to which the tRNAs corresponding amino acid is attached (by aminoacyl-tRNA synthetases). tRNAs cope with the degeneracy of the genetic code in two manners: having more than one tRNA (with a specific anti-codon) for a particular amino acid; and 'wobble' base-pairing, i.e. permitting non-standard base-pairing at the 3rd anti-codon position. The record is from Rfam. NCBI's taxonomy places the organism in Eukaryota, Fungi, Ascomycota, Eurotiomycetes, Eurotiales, Aspergillaceae.
UCCGACAUAGUGUAACGGCUAACAUAGCUGCCUUUCAUCAAAUGAAAGAUUGACCGCAGCAGCUCGGGGUUCGAUUCCCCGUGUCGGAG